Salvia miltiorrhiza (redroot sage) is the source of this 740-nucleotide long non-coding RNA. RefSeq lists it as uncharacterized. Lineage: Eukaryota; Viridiplantae; Streptophyta; Magnoliopsida; Lamiales; Lamiaceae. The record is from RefSeq and is a predicted model, not a curated record. The transcript has 2 exons.
AUGACCCUAUGUAUAGAGAAGAGAGAAUAAAUCUCAUCCCUAGAUUUUAAAAAAUCGUGCGGUUGAUAUAUAAUCUGCAGAAAAUUAGGAAUUUGCAAUUAAUCUGUUCGAAUUUAUUUUGUAAAUGGAAUUAGGGUAGUUGGGUAAAAUCCAAUAGAGUAAAUAAGGUAGUUCCGUAUUUUACUCCUAUCUACCGCGUCCAUUAGAAGAUUUGAACAGUCACCACCAUUCCACUUCAUCUCCCACGAUUCUCACGGCAGCUAAGGUUUCUCUGUAGCAGAUUUCGACGCCGCCAGCCGGCGAUGUACCCCUCAAGGCCUGCAGGAAGAGGUGCAAGAAUAGGGCCUACGCGCUUGGAUGUGGCGUCUCGCCGCGGAGCAACCAGAGAUCAAGACGGAGGCUAGAUUAUGACGAGAGGGAGAUUGCUGCAGGAGACGAAAUAUUGGCCAAGUCGAUGUACCGAAUCCUCCUCCAAUGGCAGCAACAAUCAGCCUCCGCAAAGGGGACACCCUAAAUUGCAAGCCUGCUAUUGGAAGUGAAGGUGCUGGAAACAACUAGGAGUAGUUAUAAGAAUAAUUUGUUCAUUGAAACAAUAUGUGUUGUUCAUUUAAAAUUUAUGAUAUGUUUAUUUACAAAGUAUGUUCUGUUCAUUUAGAAAUUGUAAUCUGUUCAUUUACAAAUUGUGAUUCUCCGUUACCACACGUUCGAAAUAUUUAUCUGAGUGUUCAAUUUAUUCUCUA